RNAcentral lists this unclassified non-coding RNA (368 nucleotides) under uncultured fungus. Its description in RNAcentral is "partial contains small subunit ribosomal RNA, internal transcribed spacer 1, and 5.8S ribosomal RNA". The stretch from base 1 to 141 matches the Rfam family "Eukaryotic small subunit ribosomal RNA", at positions 1759 to 1831 of the family's 1831-position model. The record is from RNAcentral. Lineage: Eukaryota; Fungi.
GCAAACUUGGUCAUUUAGAGGAAGUAAAAGUCGUAACAAGGUUUCCGUAGGUAUGUAACUAACCCACUUAUUUAUCCUUUUUAUGCUUUGAAUAAUGUGCUGACUUUUUCUCUUUUAGGUGAACCUGCGGAAGGAUCAUUACAGAGUGUUCUACCCCCUUGUAAAAUGGUGGGUUUAACCUCCCGUCCUUUGCCAGACCCCCCCUUUCGUUGGGGGGCCUUUCAAACCUUUCUGCUUCGGCGGGGUUACCCGUCGGAACACCCUCAAAAAUUCUUGGUCAAAACUGUUCGGUCCGAGAAACUUAUGAAAAUUGAAGCAAAACUUUCAACAACGGAUCUCUUGGUUCUGGCAUCGAUGAAGAACGCAGC